Molecule: ribosomal RNA, 425 nt
Filed under: uncultured prokaryote
Description: bacterial SSU rRNA
Rfam family: Bacterial small subunit ribosomal RNA
Source: RNAcentral
UGGGGAAUCAUGGUCAAUGGGCGAAAGCCUGAACCUGCGACGCCGCGUGAGUGAUGAAGGUCGUAAGAUCGUAAAACUCUUUUCAGGGAUCUUAAAGCCUGUCUGUCAACAACAGGCAGGUCUGACUCUCCCUGGAAGAAGCCCCAGCCAACUACGUGCCAGCAGCUGCGGUAAUACGUAGGGGGCGAGCGUUAUUCGGAAUUACUGGGUGUAAAGGGUAUGUAGGCGGCCCUUCAAGUCGCGUGUCAAAGUCCAGUGCUCAACGCUGGGUGUGCGCGCGAUACUGACGGGCUUGAGGGCUGGGGAUGUGAGCAGAAUUCCCGGUGUAGUGGUAAAAUGCGUAGAGAUCGAGAGGAACACCAGCGGCGCAGUCGGAUCACUAGACAGUUUCUGACGCUAAGAUACGAAAGCGUGGGGAGCAAACA